This is a long non-coding RNA of Megalobrama amblycephala (Wuchang bream), 1303 nucleotides long. RefSeq lists it as uncharacterized. NCBI's taxonomy places the organism in Eukaryota, Metazoa, Chordata, Actinopteri, Cypriniformes, Xenocyprididae. The transcript has 2 exons. The record is from RefSeq and is a predicted model, not a curated record.
UCUAGUAAAUACACAUAACUUAAUUCUCCGAAGUGGAAUUACAUAUCCUAAACCAUAUACAUCUUAAAGAUGCUUAUUAAAUGUUUAUUUAACCUCUGACAGGAACAUCUUUAAGUAUUAUGACUUAUGAGUGAUGGAUUAUGUAUUAUGAGUGAUGUGUGUGUGCUAUUAUUCACUGUUGUCAACACUUCUUACAUUACAUGAAUGAAAAUAAUGUAAAUAAAUAAAUCUACAGUAACUAUACAUACGUUUAAUCUAUUUUAUUUGUCCAUUAGUACUGUUGGUAAAUUAAGGAACAUUUGUAUUGGAUAAGAAGUGAGUUAACACAUCAUCAACAUGUGAAUGUAGAUUUGAGCACAUAAAUCUCAGAGGAAAUGUGAAUCUUGUCUGAUGUCACAGGGACAGAUGACAGGGACAGAUGAGCACACGUGUGUUUAUCCGGUAGAGGAAUGAUGCCAUCAAAGGCUUUGAGGACGAUACUACAGAAAUUAAUACAAAGUCUAUUUAAAUCUAAAGUCUAGUUUAUUUUAAUUAUUGCAAUUUAAACAGAGUUAUUACAGCACUUUGCUGGCUCUUGAUGUCUGUAUGUUUGCUGCAGAGCUUUUGUGGAGCAUGACCUGCAAGAAAAGGUGAUGGCAGGAUUUGUUAGAAAUAAAGAGGAAAGCCUGAAACAAAAUAUAAAGAUGUGAAUGUCCUCAGACUGGUGUGAGCACUGAGGAUGGAGAGCCACAGCAGAUCCUGGGAAUGGUUCAGUGUCAUGGACUCCAUCACUACUCCUUCCAAGUGACUCGAUCAAGGACACACUGGAGGUGAUGCUGCAGAGAUCGAACCUGCAACCUUCUACUGACCAGCUAAGUGGUUUAGACCACCACACCACAAAAGUAAUGAAGCUACAACAGAAAUCAGCAUGUAAUUGUAAAAAUAUGAAAUGAAAUAUGGCAAGAAACAGAAUGCUGACAUGAAUUAAUUGUAAAAUGUUUUAAUCUGCUGAUGGAGAGCACAUGAAUGUUUGGAGCAGCCAGAUUGUCCUGCGCAUCUUCUCCCACUCCUGCUUCAAGGUUGAGGGGUUCAGGGGUCCAUCAUCAUCAUCAUCAUCAUCAUCAUCUUCCUCAUCCUCUGGAUCAACGAUGUCUCCAUUGAGAAGAGCAGCAGUGAGGGACAUGAUGAUGAAGGUGUUCACCAGUUGCUUCAUCAAAAUAAAGCUGCAGAAUUGGCACAGCUGUGUUGAGAUGACAGCAGGACUGUAAAUACCUGAUUGUUAGAUCAAUACAUUUGAAUAAAGCUUUGUUUUGUGUGUUGUUGA